This 1876-nucleotide ribosomal RNA is filed under the name Drechslerella dactyloides. RNAcentral's name for it is "eukaryotic LSU rRNA". The stretch from base 1243 to 1876 matches the Rfam family "Eukaryotic large subunit ribosomal RNA", at positions 1 to 648 of the family's 3401-position model. Lineage: Eukaryota; Fungi; Ascomycota; Orbiliomycetes; Orbiliales; Orbiliaceae. The record is from RNAcentral.
CCUUAGAUGUUCUGGGCCGCACGCGCGCUACACUGACAGAGCCAACGAGUGUAAACCUUAGCCGAGAGGCUUGGGUAAUCUUGUUAAACUCUGUCGUGCUGGGGAUAGAGCAUUGCAAUUAUUGCUCUUCAACGAGGAAUAUCUAGUAAGCGCAAGUCAUCAGCUUGCGUUGAUUACGUCCCUGCCCUUUGUACACACCGCCCGUCGCUACUACCGAUUGAAUGGCUCAGUGAGGCCUUCGGACUGGCUCCAGGAGGUCGGCAACGACCACCCAGAGCCGGAAAGUUGGUCAAACUUGGUCAUUUAGAGGAAGUAAAAGUCGUAACAAGGUUUGAAGUAAGAUCGUUCCACAGGUGACGCUUAUGAGAAGCCUUUGUGGCCCUGCAAAGGGUACCUGCCGCGACUAUAAACAAAGAAUGUGGGUAUUAAAUCGCAAGUCAGCUCCGGCUGGCCACACUUUCGAAUUGCGGGGACUCCCUAAAGCUCUGUUCUACCAACCGCCCGAGGAAACUCGCGCGGGGCCUUUGUUAACAGCAUUGGGUACGGUAACAAAGAACUGAGAUAUGUUGGCUGGGCCAACGGAAUGGGUGAUCCGCAGCCAAGUCCCUAAAGCGCCCCGGGUGCCAUGGGAAAGGUUCACAGACUAAGUGGAAGUGGGCUGAACUGGCGGUUCAGCUUAAGAUAUAGUCGGGCCCUGGUUGAAAAAUCCGGGGAGUCACUGUUCCGUAGGUGAACCUGCGGAAGGAUCAUUACCAAAACAAAGCGAACUUGGCCUCCGGGUCUUGAGAGCUUCAACCUCUUGUGAACCAAACCUUUAUUUUCGCUUCGGCAGCAGUGGUUUCUGUCAUGUCAGCCUGCCGUUAGCACCAAACCAAAACUUGCAGUAUCUCAUGUCUGAAGUCAAAUUUUUGAAUCAAAUCAAAACUUUCAACAACGGAUCUCUUGGUUCCCGCAUCGAUGAAGAACGCAGCGAAACGCGAUAGUUAAUGUGAAUUGCAGAAUUCAGUGAAUCAUCGAGUCUUUGAACGCAUAUUGCGCCCAUUGGUAUUCCAUUGGGCAUGUCUGUUUGAGCGUCAUUACAAACCCUCGACCCAGGUCGGUUUUGAGCUGGCUUAACGGGUGCAAACCCAAGCCGGUUUUAAAGUUGUAGGCUUUGCUGACAGCUGCUCCAAACCAACAACAUAGUAAAACAUACUUGUUCUAGGUGGGGUGGUUCCAGCCUUGAAAAUGACACUUGUGGUUUGACCUCAGAUCAGAUAAGGAUACCCGCUGAACUUAAGCAUAUCAAUAAGCGGAGGAAAAGAAACCAACAGGGAUUGCCUCAGUAACGGCGAGUGAAGCGGCAAUAGCUCAAAUUUGAAAUCUGGAGCCUUCGGCUUCCGAGUUGUAAUUUGAAGAGGAUGUUUCGGUUGCGGCCACGGCCCAAGUUCCUUGGAACAGGACGUCAUGGAGGGUGAGAAUCCCGUACCUGGCUGUUGGCUUGCUUCCAUGUGAAACUCCUUCGAAGAGUCGAGUUGUUUGGGAAUGCAGCUCAAAAUGGGUGGUAAAUUUCAUCUAAAGCUAAAUAUUGGCGGGAGACCGAUAGCGCACAAGUAGAGUGAUCGAAAGAUGAAAAGCACUUUGAAAAGAGAGUUAAACAGUACGUGAAAUUGUUGAAAGGGAAGCGCUUGCAAUCAGACUCGCUUUCGGUUGAUCAACGUUCCUUCUGGUUCGUGCACUCUGCCGUUGGCGGGCCAGCAUCAGCUGGGGCGGUGGGACAAAGACUUCAGGAAUGUGGCUCUCUUCGGGGAGUGUUAUAGCCUGUUGUGCAAUGCCACCAGUCCCGGCUGAGGUCCGCGGUUUAUCCUAGGAUGCUGGCUUAAUGGUUGUAAGCGAC